This 747-nucleotide long non-coding RNA is filed under the name Marmota monax (woodchuck). Lineage: Eukaryota; Metazoa; Chordata; Mammalia; Rodentia; Sciuridae. The record is from RNAcentral.
AGAAACUUUAUGUCCGAGUUAUUUUUGCUGAUGUUUUUUUGCAGCACUGGGAAUCAGACCCAGGGCCUUGUCACUCUACCACCGAGUAACAUCCCCAGCCCUACGUACAAGUAGUUUUUGUGCUGCAAAAAGUUCCUCAGGAGACCUCCUCGGUGCUGGACCUAAGCAAAACAGUGAAAAUCCAUUGGUGCAGAAGCCCCUGCUGCAGGUGCUAGGAAUAUUAUCAACACCUAAAGCCACCCUACGGCACGGGUAUGACGGAUGACCAAACAGAGGCUCGGCAAGAUAGGAACCUGCCCAAGGUCACGCAGCGCUGGCAACACCAGAACUCAGACCCAAGUGUGUCUCGACUGUAGGAAACCCCUAUUUUUCUGCCCUCAGAGUCUGGUUUUCUCCCAGCCCCCUCUUUUCUUCCGGAAGGAGCACUGUCCCCCAGAUGUCUCCUUCCCUGCUCAUGUGUGGAUUGUUCUCAAGUGAGGUCCAUCUCCAGGCCGCAGUUGGUUCCAUCCAGGCGGGGACCUGACCCAGGGAGCGGGUGCCAGUGUGUUCUUCCUCGGGGGUUUGACCCCGAGGUGGCAUUGCACUCUGACACAGCCAGGCCGCGAACUCCAGGCCCUGCCAUCUCGAGAAACUGGUCUUCAGGGAGAGAGAAGGAAGUGACCGCAAGAGAAACCGAGGAGACAGAAGCCUGGCAGCACUCACCGAGGCCCCUCCAUCCCCACCUUCCCCGUGGCCAGAUUGUCGUCC